AGUGAACGCUGGCGGUAGGCCUAACACAUGCAAGUCGAACGGCAGCACAGUAAGAGCUUGCUCUUACGGGUGGCGAGUGGCGGAUGGGUGAGGAAUACAUCGGAAUCUACUUUUUCGUGGGGGAUAACGUAGGGAAACUUACGCUAUUACCGCAUACGACCUACGGGUGAAAGCAGGGGAUCUUCGGACCUUGCGUGAUUGAAUGAGGCGAUGUCGGAUUAGCUAGUUGGCGGGGUAAAGGCCCACCAAGGCGACGAUCCGUAGCUGGUCUGAGAGGAUGAUCAGCCACACUGGAACUGAGACACGGUCCAGACUCCUACGGGAGGCAGCAGUGGGGAAUAUUGGACAAUGGGCGCAAGCCUGAUCCAGCCAUACCGCGUGGGUGAAGAAGGCCUUCGGGUUGUAAAGCCCUUUUGUUGGGAAAGAAAAGCAGCAGGUUAAUACCCCGCUGUUCUGACGGUACCCAAAGAAUAAGCACCGGCUAACUUCGUG
Molecule: ribosomal RNA, 492 nt
Filed under: uncultured bacterium
Lineage: Bacteria
Description: partial 16S ribosomal RNA
Rfam family: Bacterial small subunit ribosomal RNA
Source: RNAcentral